AUUCUGGCUCAGGAUGAACGCUGGCGGCAUGCCUAAUACAAUGCAAGUCGAACGAGGUGCCUUGUAGCAAUACGAGGGUAUCCUAGUGGCGAACGGGUGAGGUAACGCGUUGGUGACCUGCCCCCGAAGUGUGGGGAUAACAGUCCGAAAGGAUUGCUAAUACCGCAUGCGGUCAUCGGAUUUAGAAACCGAUGACCAAAGCAGCAAUGCGCUUUGGGAGGGACCUGCGUCCCAUCAGCUAGUUGGUAGGGUAACGGCCUACCAAGGCGACGACGGGUAGGGGACCUGAGAGGGUGACCCCCCACAAUGGAACUGAAAUACGGUCCAUACACCUACGGGUGGCAGCAGUAGGGAAUAUUGCACAAUGGGCGAAAGCCUGAUGCAGACCAACGCCGCGUGCACGAUGAAGGUCUUCGGAUCGUAAAGUGCUUUUCUGGGAGAUGAGAAAGGACAGUAUCCCAGGAAUAAGUCUCGGCUAACUACGUGCCAGCCGCCGC
RNAcentral lists this ribosomal RNA (497 nucleotides) under uncultured bacterium. RNAcentral describes it as "bacterial SSU rRNA". It matches the Rfam family "Bacterial small subunit ribosomal RNA", at positions 16 to 518 of the family's 1533-position model. The record is from RNAcentral.